CAGUAGCCGCGGUAAUACGUAGGUGGCAAGCGUUGUCCGGACUUAUUGGGCGUAAAGGGCUCGCAGGCGGUUUCUUAAGUCUGAUGUGAAAGCCCCCGGCUCAACCGGGGAGGGUUAUUGGAAACUGGGAAACUUGAGUGCAGAAGAGGAGAGUGGAAUUCCACGUGUAGCGGUGAAAUGCGUAGAGAUGUGGAGGAACACCAGUGGCGAAGGCGACUCUCUGGUCUGUAACUGACGCUGAGGAGCGAAAGCGUGGGGAGCGAACAGGAUUAGAUACCCCGGUAGUCCCUGUCUCUUAUAA
RNAcentral lists this ribosomal RNA (301 nucleotides) under uncultured bacterium. RNAcentral's name for it is "partial 16S ribosomal RNA". It matches the Rfam family "Bacterial small subunit ribosomal RNA", at positions 509 to 809 of the family's 1533-position model. The record is from RNAcentral.